RNAcentral lists this non-coding RNA (29 nucleotides) under Rattus norvegicus (Norway rat). Lineage: Eukaryota; Metazoa; Chordata; Mammalia; Rodentia; Muridae. The record is from RNAcentral.
UCCCAUGUAUGUUCUUAGGUGAAGAGUUU